This 770-nucleotide ribosomal RNA is filed under the name uncultured bacterium. Its description in RNAcentral is "bacterial SSU rRNA". It matches the Rfam family "Bacterial small subunit ribosomal RNA", at positions 74 to 831 of the family's 1533-position model. The record is from RNAcentral.
GUCUCUUCGGGGAUGAUUAAACCGGCGCACGGGUGAGUAACACGUGAGUGACCUGCCUUUUAGACUGGAACAACUUACCGAAAGGUGAGCUAAUGCCGGAUGAGUUAUAUAAGUGCAUGUUUAUAUAGGAAAAGUUGGGGAGACCUGACGCUGAAAGAUGGACUCGCGUCCCAUUAGCUAGUUGGUAGGGUAAUGGCCUACCAAGGCGACGAUGGGUAGCCGGCCUGAGAGGGUGGCCGGCCACACUGGGACUGAGACACGGCCCAGACUCCUACGGGAGGCAGCAGUGGGGAAUUUUGCGCAAUGCUCGUAAGAGUGACGCAGCGACGCCGCGUGAAUGACGAAGGCCUUCGGGUCGUAAAGUUCUUUCGACAGGGAAGAAAAUGCCUAUAAGUAACUGUGUAUGUAUUGACGGUACCUGUAUAAGCAGCCCCGGCUAACUCCGUGCCAGCAGCCGCGGUAAUACGGAGGGGGCGAGCGUUGUUCGGAGUGACUGGGCGUAAAGAGCACGUAGGCGGUGUUGUAGUCAUUAGUCAAAGACUAGAGCUCAACUUUAGUAAGGCUAGUGAUACUAUAAUACUAGAGUAUCAGAGAGGAUUGCAGAAUUCCUGGUGUAGCGGUGAAAUGCGUAGAUAUCAGGAGGAAUACCGUUAGCGAAGGCGGCAAUCUGGCUGGAAACUGACGCUGAGGUGCGAAAGCGUGGGUAGCAAACAGGAUUAGAUACCCUGGUAGUCCACGCUGUAAACGAUGGAUGCUAGGUGUUGGGCUUU